CCCCUCUCAGGGUCACACCUGGAGAGUUUCCAGUACUUUACCAGUUUUGACUACAGGAAGGACAGUGUAGCGGAGACGUCCAUUCCAUUUCUAGCUUGGGCAGUGGCUAGCGAGUGGAAGGCAAUCUGCUACAAAU
Molecule: non-coding RNA, 136 nt
Organism: Ornithorhynchus anatinus (platypus)
Lineage: Eukaryota; Metazoa; Chordata; Mammalia; Monotremata; Ornithorhynchidae
Source: Rfam